AACGAACGCUGGCGGCGUGCCUAAUACAUGCAAGUCGAACGUGAAAUGAGUAGCAAUACUUGUGGAAAGUGGCGAACGGGUGAGUAACACGUAAGUAAUCUACCUUUAAGUUUGGGAUAACCUUGCCAACGCGGGGCUAAUACCGGAUGUGAUCAGUGGGGCGCAUGUUUUACUGAUUAAAGGAGUGAUCCGCUUAAAGAUGAGCUUGCGGCCCAUUAGUUAGUUGGCGGGGUAACGGCCCACCAAGACCGCGAUGGGUAGCCGGCCUGAGAGGGUGUACGGCCACAUUGGGACUGAGAUACGGCCCAGACUCCUACGGGAGGCUG
This 326-nucleotide ribosomal RNA is filed under the name uncultured Fibrobacterota bacterium. RNAcentral's name for it is "bacterial SSU rRNA". It matches the Rfam family "Bacterial small subunit ribosomal RNA", at positions 29 to 351 of the family's 1533-position model. Lineage: Bacteria; Pseudomonadati; Fibrobacterota. The record is from RNAcentral.